UUCGCCCGCGGCGGAGGAGAGGGGAAGACAAACUCGGGGAAUGUUGGAAGCGAGGAGCUUGCGGAAGGCGGUCGUCCCGGCCUCGCUAUUCCGAGACCCGUCGCCGGGGAACAUCCAAUCCACUCGCCUCGCUCUCAAUGUCAAUGAUGGCGGCUCUUCUUGCUCCGUAUACAUCGCUUCCGGUUGCCGCGUCUAUAAGAUCGAGAUAUCCAUGGAAGAUUCUGUAAUUACUAAAGGAAAAGAAAGCCUUAUAAUUCCUGUCAAUGCAGAGGUCAUACACUCAUCUGCGGUUGACCGCUGUCCUCAUCGUUCAGAGAUUCAAAGUUUAGUCCUUACUGAAGGAGGUGAUAACUGCUUGAUUAUGGGCACAGUGGACUGUUAUGGGCACCUUAUUGUAUCCCAGUUGGAUCCGGUUGGUUCAGUCAUCGACAGGCUUUCUUAUUCGGUGUUGCCUCGAGAUUGCGGUAUAGGAGAGGGGAGCUGGGCUGGUAUCUGCUUUAGUCCAGCACACUGGUCUACAGUAGCAGUCGCCCGCAGCUUCUGCAAAAGUAUCGAUGUUUAUGACCAAGAUAUCCACAUUAAGAGUUUACAAACAUUGUGGUACCCGGCUUCAUUAAGUUUUUUUGAUAAUCCACAUUAUGAGGGGCACUCCUCUGUACUAGCUGUUGCUGAAGGCUCUCAGCUGACCAUAUGGGACUUGAGAACAAAUCAAAAUGGUGGAUGUGUACAACGUGUAUGUGGUUCCAUUGGAGAUCUCAUAUAUUCCCUGUGUAGUUCACCAUCUGGAACAAUUGCUGUUGGUGGAUCUGAUCGUACUGUUACCAUUUAUGAUCCUCGCAGGUGGUCGGCCAUAUCAAGAUGGGUGAACUGCUCAAAGUAUGAGAUAACAGGUCUCUAUUUCUCAACAAUUGACUCAGAUUACAUCUACAUCCAAGGUGUUGAUUAUGAGGUUAUCUGUGGAACAUGGAAAGAAGGUAGAAAAGCAUUCUCCUUUAGGGGAGACUCAAACUGGUUGGGCUUUAGUAAGUGUGCAAAUGCAGAUGUUCUUGCUGGAUGGUGCGAUUCUGGUAGCAUCUUUGUGGCUGAUGUUGUAGAGGAACACUCAUGAAACCUGUGAAUACUGUUAUCGACCUGAUAUCACAUGUUGUCAGUGAUCUUUUGUGGUCUGGGGUGCGAUCGGAUUAUGUUGAAGCAUUUGUCUCUCGUAUGAACAACAGAAGCAGAGUUGUGAUUUGGAUUAUCUUUCUACCCUCCUUGUUCCUUGUUGAAACAUUAAUCUGUCGUGAUGCUAAUGAGACUUUUAACUAUAGGGGCUGGGCUCAUAUGUAAUUAAUCAUGAAUCCAAUGACAUUGAUGUAAUCGACGAGCCAGAUAGCUCAGCCAAGUGUCUCAUUUGAAGUGCAAUAAAAAAAGGCCACGACGACAUCUGUACUAACUUGGCGGAUCCAUGGCCCCAACCCAACCGCUUGUCCACCAGAAAAGACCAGGUACGGACACGUUCGUCAUAACGGGUGCGGUCUUCGUGGGGUUCGGAUCGCUUGUUGGGCUCGCUCGCCGACUCAAUUUAACCCAAUAGGUGCGCGUCAUUGUCUGGCACAAGCAAACUGCGACGCACAUUGCCCGCUUCCAGACUUCUUCGCAGGCCGUCCCCAUCGGAAAACCUGGGUGGUGCCAGAUAUAUUGAGGGUUUUAUGGGGUUUUGAGUUCAUCGAUUGGAUUCUUUAUCUGUGUUCCUUCGGUGAUGAUCUGGAACAGACUUUUGACUGGUAGCUGAUCCAUUUAUCCACUUCGGUUCAACUUCGGUGCUCUUUGAAGUUGGAAAUGGGAGGCUCUGCAGCUGAUUGCGUGGCUUUCAUGCGACUUUGGUGGACGAAAUGGCCAGCAAGGGAGCGGUCGUGACUCGCUCAUCGGCAUCGCAUCGUCGAGGAGAUGCUGAAGAUACCACCUUUAAGUUCAUCAGACCAAUCCCAAAGCUAAAGAUUUCAAUGCUUGUAGUUGGAACAAGAGGAGAUGUUCAACCUUUUAUAGCUUUUGCGAAGAAACUUCAGGCAAGUAUGCUUACAAAAUUGUACAAUACAACAUCAGCUUUUGAAGGUUUAUUUAUUGUGUUCGUCACAUGAUUUUUUGGUUAAACAGGUUGGAGUUUAGCAGCAGUCACUUGUAUAGCUUUUUAGUUUUAUGGGAUAAUUGGCUGAUUUUGUUGGCUUAGCUGACAAGUUACAGUGGUCAAUUUUUGUCCAAAUGGAAUUGAAUGAUCUGAACGCUGAUACCUAGUGAUGUGGAGGGAUGACAAUCACUCUUAUUUGAAAAUAACCCUAUAGCUUUUUUGCUAAAGAUGCAUUAGAAUAAGUCUGCAUAAUUCAGUUUGCAUCAUUUACAUUCUCCUGCAAGGUUGUGUAGUUGCAUUGUCUAUAUCUCUAAUAAAGUGCUUUUAAGAUCUAUCAAUUAUAACAUUUUCUAGAGUUUUCUUGUUGUAGUUGUCAAGAUAAUGUGCUUUGUUAUGUGAGAGAGCCUAGACGGACCUGCAUUGAAUAUGCUGUAACAAGGGUGCUGCAUCAUGCCCAUGCCAAUCACAUAUCUUAAGUUACUUAUAGGUUUUCAUGUUCCUAUACCAAAUGUUGAUACUUCACAAGCUUCAUAUGGCAUGUGUGGUGCAGGGAACACUACAAGUACUAGCAAUCUUGACGUGUCAUUACUUCCUGCUAUACUUGGUCAAAAUAUCAAAACUAAAAAAUUACACGUAGAUUAAUAAUAGCAUCCAAAAUAUCCUUUUAAUUUUGUGCCACUAAAUUGUAAGUAACUGACUAAUAAAACAAAUUUAUGAACUCUUCUGUUUUGAUUUAGUAAUUAAUUGGAGUCUAUCAUAUGUAUAUCCUGUGUUGAAAAUUUGAAAUACCCACGAGCAGUGCUCAAAGUCAAUAUGUCUUACAACAUAUCCUAGUAUGCAUUGUUGUUUGAGGAUGCUGACCUUGUAAGAACAGGAUUAGUGGAGUAUGAAAUCUACAAAUAUGACCGUACUGUCCCUUCUCUUUGUUAAUUAGCUCAAGAGAAAUGUAAAUAAAGUUGGCAGUACCAAGUGAUUUGUGGCAUUGUUGUCCUUUGAAACUGUCCCAUUUUGAUUUAUUAGUCUACAGAAAGUUAUGGCCUAUUCCUCCUUUAUAUCUUAGAGAAAAGCAAUAAUUUACUUGCACCUCAUGAUAAUGAAUCUGUGUUUUUCGUCAUCCUUGUUCUCACAGAACCUACCUGUCUUCUCCAGGAGUUUGGCCAUUGUGUUAGAUUGGCAACUCAUGUGAAUUUCUGGACUUUUGUGAAGUCAUGUGGUCUGGAAUUUUACCCUUUGGGUGGUGAUCCUCGAAUAAUGAUUGGAUAGCUCAGCGUUCAGUCUUUCAAGUGCUAUAAGAUUUAUGCUCCAACCAGAGGUUAAGUUGCGUGCCAUGGAAUUAAGAGAGCAAAUAGACGAUGCAGAUGGUGUUGCGGCUGCAGCGGAUGCAUUCCAUAGGCAUUUGCCACCACAGCUACCGAUCCUUCCUCCUCCUUCGGAUGAUGGACCACCAAAAUCCCAUUCGGUGGCUGCCUCAGUUCGUCUUCCAUGCGCGCUUCAUGGUCCUCCCUGUGUUUUAGCCAUUCUUUAUUAUGUUCUCAUUGUCAUUUUUUUGUCUGUGAAUAUGGGAUAAUAAAGACCAAUUAUAUAGUUUUCUCUACAUGUAUUGAGUGAGAAUUUUGUCAACGAUUGCUGUCCACGAUGCUGCGUGGUCAACCGCUGCUCGUCCCUCAUCGAUCAUGGGGACUGGCGAGGUUUUUGGCGCAAACCGAGGAGGCGGGACGAAGAAAUUUUAGCGGGGGAUGCAGGUUUGGCGCCAACCCUCGACAGCCAUUCCAAGUCUCGCUUUGGCAUUCUCCACGGCAGAUUCCAAGUCGGUCUCUCUCCUAAGAUUUGGAGAGAGAGAGAGAGAGAGAGAGAGGAUAUGGUUCCGUGAUGCACUCACUGCAUUCCGCCAGGAAGAUGAACGGGGAAUACGACAGAGGGAAAGAAACAAAGAGCACGACACUGUUCGAGCCUACUAACAUUGUCGCCAAGUCCGAUUAAUAAUGUGGUAAAUCAUUGGACACACUGCGCCUCGGGACUCUCACACAAAGGUCGCUUUUGCCAGAAGGAAGGAUGCACUGUACCCAUAUAGAGAUGGGUUUGUAUGCUAUUUACCGGCUGGUGUAGUAUUUUAUGUUUCUUUUAUCUUUUAUUUUGGCUUCUACGAACCCUUCUAACCUUCUUUUAUUAUUAUCCUUGCAAUCAAAUAAAUUAAAUUCAUUCUGUUGAA
Musa acuminata AAA Group (dessert banana) is the source of this 4316-nucleotide RNA transcript. RefSeq lists it as uncharacterized. The record is from RefSeq and is a predicted model, not a curated record. The transcript has 17 exons. Lineage: Eukaryota; Viridiplantae; Streptophyta; Magnoliopsida; Zingiberales; Musaceae.